RNAcentral lists this long non-coding RNA (1479 nucleotides) under Phasianus colchicus (ring-necked pheasant). RNAcentral describes it as "lncRNA (ENSPCLG00000015302.1)". The record is from RNAcentral. Lineage: Eukaryota; Metazoa; Chordata; Aves; Galliformes; Phasianidae.
CUCUACUGGAGUUUCCUGAGUGAGUCCACGACACGGGUAAGCCUCCUAUUUAUUCUCUUUUGCCUUGCUGUGCCUAACUCUCUUGCUUAUUUCAUUAUUAUAACAUCUUAAUAUUAUUUGGUUAUAUAACAUUCCUUUAUAUAAUUUUCAUUGAUUAUACACUUGGCAAGUCAGGCAGGCAAGCCGAAUAUACUGAAACUUACACUAUGUCCUUUCUUUGGAAUUUCUGUAAAUGGUUCAAGGGGGAGAACACUACCCCCCUGGAUAAAAUAAUUCCAGGGCAGAUCCCAGGAUUUGCGGGAUCCCCUUAUUAUGAAUUGGCAACUAUCAUUGAAAAAUGGGGUCCCCUACAUGUUGUGGGAAACAUUUCCCCAUAUCGCCUAGCGGAUUACUUUCAGGGACUAGGCAAAGAUAUAUUAGUCACUAGAGAAAGACAAUUAGCUGCUUCUAUAGUGGCAUGGCUGCUAUUAAAUGCUUUAAACAAUGCCGAAAUAAGGAAUAAUACUUUAGUGAACGAAAAUGAACUUUUAAAAGAUCAUAUUGAGAAGUUAGAACAGGAACUUGGGAUAUUAACAGGAAAAAAACCAAUUCUACGUCUUCCAAUAGGUCAAGUUCGUAGUAUUUCAACAAACAAUGACCAGGCUACUGAAUCAACAGACUGUGUUGAUCAGGAAAAUAAACCAUCUAAAUCGGAUCUUGAAUCUCCAAUUUUGAUGGACGCACUAGAAGUCCGUCCUGUUAUAACUCAAAAAACGAAAAAGGUACAGGACAGACUGGCAGGGGUGCCGCCUGAUCAGUGGCCCCCCACUCAAACCCAUUUGCAUGUAACAGCCCAGUUAUACAUGGCAACAGAACUGAUGGAUUUAGUCCAAAGAUUCAGGCAGAAACCUAGAGAAAGUGUGCCGGCUUGGUUAUUAAGACUAUGGGAUUCUGGGGCAGAAAGUGUUCUAGUGAAUGGCCCGGAAAUAGCCAAAUUGGCCACAAUGACCUUCCAUCCUGCUCUUAGACAGAGAUUAUAUGCAGGUAAUCAAUAUAAUGAUGAAAACCAUUCUAUAAUAGAAUGGUUAAUGGCGGCCUGCCGUAUGGUAUGGCCCAAUAAAUCUGAUAUUUCUUUACAUACAGGGAUGUGGUCCUCCAUGGAGGACCUUCAAAAUUACAUCUGUGAGCUAGGUGUAAGGGAAGCGAUUUAUGAAGAUACCUUUGAUGGCCCGGAUCUGGUCAAAUUCUCAGCGGGGUUGAGAGACCUAAUUUUACAACAAGCUCCCUCCCAUCUGUAUGGCACUCUGGUCUCUACAUUAAAUCCCCUAGUGGCCUCAAGCAGUUGUCCAGCAGGCUGCGCAGUUAGUGGCUGAUCUAGGAGAAACAGAACGCCUGCGGAAUAGGCGCAACAUUCGGACACUAGAAGAAGCUGAGGUCUUGCCGGUGACUAAAACCAAAAUGCCGGCUACUCGAGCUCCUCAGUCGGAACCCAUAAGGGUC